RNAcentral lists this long non-coding RNA (724 nucleotides) under Ananas comosus (pineapple). Its description in RNAcentral is "long non-coding RNA (ACOM_LNC034326)". Lineage: Eukaryota; Viridiplantae; Streptophyta; Magnoliopsida; Poales; Bromeliaceae. The record is from RNAcentral.
CGACUCCACGCACUCACCCUCUCUUAACCUCCUAUGAAUCUCGUACAAUCCUUCGGGUUGUCCAUGUCCUCACGUUCGAAUCCACGAACGUCACGUUCCGAAUCCACGAAACGCCUGCACUCCGAAUCCACGAAGCUCACGAUCCGAAUCCACGAACCGCCGUCAAUCACGCCGAAUCCACGACGCCAUCAUGAAGAACAUCAUGUGUAUGGUGAUCCUUCGCUUAGAGUAUCGAUGAAAACCAGGGAAGAGAACUCCAAGCGAAGCGAAGAUCAAAUUGACAUAUAGAUAUGAAAUUCCAAUAUCUCGAUUUGACCUAAAAGAGGCUAAUAUGUAGAAAAUAGGUUUUAGAUGAAAUCCGAGCCUCUAGGGUUUCUCAAACAUGUAUUUUCGUGAUGCUUGAUAAGUUAGAGAACCCCAAUAGCUUAUUUAUAGACUUUAGAAUCAAUCGGAGUCGGAUUAGAAAGUUUUUUCCGAAAUUUGCAUUGUGUACCGGUACACGUGAGGCUGUCACCGGUACACGAUGACGGAACAGAAAAUCAAAACAGCCUUGUAACCGGUAACAUGUUUGAUGGUUAUACCCGUACAUAGUUUGUAACCGGUAACACGUUGAUGGUUGUACCCGUACAAAGUUUGUAACCGGUAGCACUUUCAAUGUGUACCCGUACACAGUGUAGUUUUUAGAUUUUUUUCACGUUUCGGGUUUCGCAAAGUUCCAAUACAC